CACUCUUAUACCAGCUCUAAUCACUUUGAAGCUGCCAGAAAGACUGAGGUGUUAAGAAUGACCUAUGCACUGGAAGUGGCAGAACAAAAAUGGAUGACAGGGAGUUGAUAGCCAAGGUAAAUGAGGACCUAGUGGGAGAGCACCUAGUUGCCCUUGAUGAAUUCAAAUGGAUGCCCAGAUGAAGUACAUCCUCAGCUAUACCUUACAGCUUUGCAUCAUUGGGACAUUUGGUAAGCAAGCCUUGAGUACCUUCAUCUAAAAGCACUAGAGCAAGGCAAAGCCAAGGACAGAGUCUUGUGGCAUGCUUCUAGAGAUCUCCCUCCUGGAUGACAUCUACCCCAUAAUGAACAACACUCUUGGUACGUGUGAUCUGAUUCCCUGAAGCCUAUUUUACUGGCACCUGUUUAUCCAGGUCCCCCUGGCAUAUAAAGGAAUCGUGGAUAAUUGAGUGGACUAAAUGUUGUAGUUGCAUCUUGUCUAAUUACAGUAAUGUUGGUGCUGCUAAGCAAAUAAGGAAUGUUUAAAAUCCUUGUCCUGCUUUAUAGUCCUAUAUUCAAGUGCCAAACUUAAGUUUUGGGAUGGUGUGGAAAGGGUUGAAAAUACAAGAAACUCAGGAGGAGAGACUUGAUAUUUUAUAGUACUACAGGGAGGAGAAUGUGAGGAAAAACAAGCUUUUAGGAUUCCUUUAAAAUACAGAGAAAAAGAUUAAAAGUGAAAUUAUUACCCAAGUCAAUAAAAUAUUUUAAAAUACAAAUUUUUCAUUUCAUUUUAUUCUUAAAGCCUAUUUUUUUUUUUUUAAAUUAAAGGAACUGUCAGGGACAGAAGGGGUAAAAUGUUAAGUAUUUUAUGCUCUACUUAAAGGUAUUCCAAUUAUUUUAAAAGAAAAUAAUUUUUGCACCCCAUGGAGAAUUAGUUUUGCAAUGUCAGACUUAAAAAUAGUGUGAUGAAUGCAAUAAAACAAAGGCUUUUUUUUUUUUUUGCAUGGCACUAAUUUUAGGUUCAAAGAAGUUACUUUUGCAGUUAUAUUUUUUUAAGAAAAAAAUUUAGAUUUAAAAUUGUUUUCAAUAGUCA
RNAcentral lists this long non-coding RNA (1071 nucleotides) under Sarcophilus harrisii (Tasmanian devil). Its description in RNAcentral is "lncRNA (ENSSHAG00000023885.1)". Lineage: Eukaryota; Metazoa; Chordata; Mammalia; Dasyuromorphia; Dasyuridae. The record is from RNAcentral.